RNAcentral lists this transfer RNA (89 nucleotides) under Helianthus annuus (common sunflower). RNAcentral's name for it is "tRNA-Leu". It matches the Rfam family "tRNA". Rfam says of the family: Transfer RNA (tRNA) molecules are approximately 80 nucleotides in length. Their secondary structure includes four short double-helical elements and three loops (D, anti-codon, and T loops). The record is from RNAcentral. Lineage: Eukaryota; Viridiplantae; Streptophyta; Magnoliopsida; Asterales; Asteraceae.
CGUCAGGAUGGCCGAGUGGUCUAAGGCGCCAGACUCAAGUUCUGGUCUCCGAGGAGGGGGCGUGGGUUCAAAUCCCACUUCUGACAUUC